UUUGAAUGAAAUACCACAACUAUAAUUAUUCAACCCCACACAACUACAAACAAGACUUUUUUAACCCUUUGAAUAAGGUGAUAACAUUGUUUUUCACUUUUAAGCUUGUAAUGAGUUAUAAACAAAAAUGGGAUAAAUUGGCUAAUUGGCUAAAAAAAUAAAACACAAACGACUUGCCUUUAUCAUAUCAGUGUGCACAAGUAAUAAAAUAGUUUCAAACAAAGUCAGAUCAAGUUCUAGAGACUAACAGACAUGAGUGAAUUCACACAAGAAAUAAAGAGAUGGAUUGUUUUUAAUGUUAUCCAUUAUUAGGCUCAAAAUCUCACAAAGUUUAAUAAUCUACCACAAAUGAUGCACAAUUCAAAAUUUAGUCUUACUUAUAUACUAAGAAUGCACAUCAAAUCACGCACAUCACAUCAUGAAUCUUUAGUCAAGAGAAUGGAGAAAUU
RNAcentral lists this long non-coding RNA (449 nucleotides) under Lathyrus oleraceus (garden pea). Its description in RNAcentral is "Pisum sativum (pea) long non-coding RNA (PSAT_LNC007133)". The record is from RNAcentral. Lineage: Eukaryota; Viridiplantae; Streptophyta; Magnoliopsida; Fabales; Fabaceae.